RNAcentral lists this transfer RNA (73 nucleotides) under Trichonephila inaurata madagascariensis. RNAcentral describes it as "tRNA-Thr". The record is from RNAcentral. Lineage: Eukaryota; Metazoa; Arthropoda; Arachnida; Araneae; Nephilidae.
GCCCAGCCAGUCUGGUGGAUAUGAUCCUUGGCUUGUAACCGAGGGGGUUCGAGUUCGAAUCCCGAGUAAGGCA